AUGCACCGAAGCUGCGGCAGCGACACUGUGUGUUGUUGGGUAGGGGAGCGUUCUGUAAGCCUGUGAAGGUGUGCUGUGAGGCAUGCUGGAGGUAUCAGAAGUGCGAAUGCUGACAUAAGUAACGAUAAAGCGGGUGAAAAGCCCGCUCGCCGGAAGACCAAGGGUUCCUGUCCAACGUUAAUCGGGGCAGGGUGAGUCGACCCCUAAGGCGAGGCCGAAAGGCGUAGUCGAUGGGAAACAGGUUAAUAUUCCUGUACUUGGUGUUACUGCGAAGGGGGGACGGAGAAGGCUAUGUUGGCCGGGCAACGGUUGUCCCGGUUUAAGCGUGUAGGCUGGUUUUCCAGGCAAAUCCGGAAAAUCAAGGCUGAGGCGUGAUGACGAGGCACUACGGUGCUGAAGCAACAAAUGCCCUGCUUCCAGGAAAAGCCUCUAAGCAUCAGGUAACAUCAAAUCGUACCCCAAACCGACACAGGUGGUCAGGUAGAGAAUACCAAGGCGCUUGAGAGAACUCGGGUGAAGGAACUAGGCAAAAUGGUGCCGUAACUUCGGGAGAAGGCACGCUGAUAUGUAGGUGAAGUCCCUCGCGGAUGGAGCUGAAAUCAGUCGAAGAUACCAGCUGGCUGCAACUGUUUAUUAAAAACACAGCACUGUGCAAACACGAAAGUGGACGUAUACGGUGUGACGCCUGCCCGGUGCCGGAAGGUUAAUUGAUGGGGUCAGCGCAAGCGAAGCUCUUGAUCGAAGCCCCGGUAAACGGCGGCCGUAACUAUAACGGUCCUAAGGUAGCGAAAUUCCUUGUCGGGUAAGUUCCGACCUGCACGAAUGGCGUAAUGAUGGCCAGGCUGUCUCCACCCGAGACUCAGUGAAAUUGAACUCGCUGUGAAGAUGCAGUGUACCCGCGGCAAGACGGAAAGACCCCGUGAACCUUUACUAUAGCUUGACACUGAACAUUGAGCCUUGAUGUGUAGGAUAGGUGGGAGGCUUUGAAGUGUGGACGCCAGUCUGCAUGGAGCCGACCUUGAAAUACCACCCUUUAAUGUUUGAUGUUCUAACGUGGACCCGUGAUCCGGGUUGCGGACAGUGUCUGGUGGGUAGUUUGACUGGGGCGGUCUCCUCCUAAAGAGUAACGGAGGAGCACGAAGGUUGGCUAAUCCUGGUCGGACAUCAGGAGGUUAGUGCAAUGGCAUAAGCCAGCUUGACUGCGAGCGUGACGGCGCGAGCAGGUGCGAAAGCAGGUCAUAGUGAUCCGGUGGUUCUGAAUGGAAGGGCCAUCGCUCAACGGAUAAAAGGUACUCCGGGGAUAACAGGCUGAUACCGCCCAAGAGUUCAUAUCGACGGCGGUGUUUGGCACCUCGAUGUCGGCUCAUCACAUCCUGGGGCUGAAGUAGGUCCCAAGGGUAUGGCUGUUCGCCAUUUAAAGUGGUACGCGAGCUGGGUUUAGAACGUCGUGAGACAGUUCGGUCCCUAUCUGCCGUGGGCGCUGGAGAACUGAGGGGGGCUGCUCCUAGUACGAGAGGACCGGAGUGGACGCAUCACUGGUGUUCGGGUUGUCAUGCCAAUGGCACUGCCCGGUAGCUAAAUGCGGAAGAGAUAAGUGCUGAAAGCAUCUAAGCACGAAACUUGCCCCGAGAUGAGUUCUCCCUGACCCUUUAAGGGUCCUGAAGGAACGUUGAAGACGACGACGUUGAUAGGCCGGGUGUGUAAGCGCAGCGAUGCGUUGAGCUAACCGGUACUAAUGAACCGUGAGGCUUAACCUU
This 1757-nucleotide ribosomal RNA is filed under the name Escherichia coli. Its description in RNAcentral is "partial 23S ribosomal RNA". It matches the Rfam family "Bacterial large subunit ribosomal RNA", at positions 1189 to 2925 of the family's 2925-position model. The record is from RNAcentral. Lineage: Bacteria; Pseudomonadati; Pseudomonadota; Gammaproteobacteria; Enterobacterales; Enterobacteriaceae.